Long non-coding RNA from Callithrix jacchus (white-tufted-ear marmoset), 2555 nucleotides. RefSeq lists it as uncharacterized. The record is from RefSeq and is a predicted model, not a curated record. Lineage: Eukaryota; Metazoa; Chordata; Mammalia; Primates; Cebidae.
CCAGCGCGCGGGGGCGGAGUCUUCCAGCGCGCGGGGCAGCCUCGAGGCGCAGGGCGGAGUCUUAUGGGACGAGACCUCAGCGCCUGCGCAAGCGCUGCCGCCGCCCGGGCUUCCACUUGACCCCGAUAGCUCCGAGUUCCGUAUUGAGGAACGCGAAGCUGUGGUCCUAGAGAUUUACAUGCCUGUAAUCCCAGCACUUUGGGUGGUGGAGGCCGGAGGGUUGCUUGUGCUCAGGAGUUCAAGACCAGACUGGGCAACACAAGGGCCGCGCGCGGAGGCUCAAGCCUGUAAUCCCAGCACUUUGGGAGGCCGAGGCAGGUGGAUCACGAGGUCAAGAGAUCGAGACCAUCAUGGUCAACGUGGUGAAACCCCGUCUCUACUAAAAAUACAAAAAAUUAGCUGGGCACGGUGGUGCGUGCCUGUAAUCCCAGCUACUCAGGAGGCUGAGGCAGAAGAAUUGCCUGAACCCAGGAGGCGGAGGUUGCGGUGAGCCGAGAUCGCGCCAUUGCACUCCAGCCUGGGUAACAAGAGCAAAACUCCGCCUCAAAAAAAAAAAAAAAAAAAAGAAGUCAUUCCUAUAAAUAGCUGAUAAACUUUAAUAUCCUAGAGAGUCUUAUUAGGAGAAAAGAGAGCAGAAAAAAUCUACCAACAUCAAGAAUGGAAAAGAAGGCCAGGCGUGGAGGCCGAGGCGGGUGUAUCACGAGGUCAACAGAUGGAGACCAUCCUGGUCAACAUGGUGAAACCCCGUCUCUACUAAAAAUACAAAAAAUUAGCUGGGCAUGGUGGCACGUGCCUGUAAUCCCAGCUACUCAGGAGGCUGAGGCAGGAGAAUUGCCUGAACCCAGGAGGCGGAGGUUGCGGUGAGCCGAGAUCGCGCCAUUGCACUCCAGCCUGGGUAACAAGAGCGAAACUCCGUCUCAAAAAAAAAAAAGGAAUUGUUUCAACAAUGUCUAUCUAUGGUAACUGUUUUACUAUACUUCUUAAAUCUUACUUCACAUAGUAACUAUUUUUUUGUUUUUUUACUUUGUGAAAUUUUGUCCUUGAACUUUAGUGUGCAUAUAUGUAUUUGUAUUUAUAUAUAUGUAUGUAUAAAAUAUGUAUAUAUGUAUAAUAUGUGUAUUAAAUAUCACAUAUAUGUAUUAUCACAUAUAUUAUAUGUAUUAUAUGUCACAUAUAUAUAAAAUAUGUUUUGGAUUAGACGGCCUUUGAGGUAUCUAUUUUCUAAUCUGUGCUGCUCUAUCUUAAUGCUUGUAAUUCAGCAAUUUGGAAACGGGUGGUGAAAAAAAUUAGUGCAAUUGAGUCAUAUUCUCCAUGACCUUUCAUUAUAAAACAUAAUGAGACAAACACAAAGCAUUUUACUCCAAUGAAUAAUCAUCACACUUUAAUAUAAUAACAAACAUACGAUAUAUUUAAGUUAGAACACUACUUCGAUAAGACAAUCAUACUCAAGCUAAGAUACAAGGUACAGAUAUACUGAAAUUGUAAAGUAUCCAUUUUCAUGUUUGCUGUUUACUUCUCUUACUGGACCAAGACCAAUAAGAUAGAUGUGUUGCAUUACUCUUACAAUCUAAGACUUCACCUCUAGCUCAGGGAAAAUACUGGUGGAAACCUGUUUUACCAAAAAGCAGCUUUAGUAUCUGUUUAACCAGGUUAUUCUGUAAUAAGAACUCCAUUUUAAUGUACAUUAUCCAUUACGAAUGUGUUAGACUGAGAUAUUCUAUGCAACAGACAUUUAAAGGGCCAUAUCCACAUAGAAAACAGUGUUUAAUGCAUAUGCCACAGCUUUAUUUCUAUGUUUGAAAAUCUCAACAAACGAUUUAAAUCUCACGUGAUGUUUUAUUUGCCUGCCAAAAUGCAAGCUUAGUGAUCUGGGCUCAUAUACAAUCUCUGGAAGUUAGCCAAGAAGUCACAAGAAAAUAAGCCCAGGGCUGUUGAAAAUAGUGGUCCAAAUAUUUACUUUAUCGAAAUUUAAUAUAUCUGUAUAACUCACCAAAAGCUGUUUUUGUUUUAUGCAGAGUUGUAUGUUAAUUAUCUUAUUUGUAAAAUCAUAAUAGACCCUGAAUUACAAAAAAGGCAUAACAUUUUAUUAUGUUUUCUAUUGCACUCAAGUAUAGUUAAAGCUGAAGUGAAUAAACGUAGUAUUUACCCUUGCAGAGGACUAGCUCUGUAGUGUCUUUUUUUAUACAAUAUUGUCUGUUGCUAUUACUUGCAAAUACAGUAUACUGUAAACCCUUGUUUUGUGUAAAAAGAAUUAGAAACAGUGCAAUUAAGUUCACUAUAUACAUUUUUUAAGAUCUCCAAAUGUAUUAAAUGGCACCCACUCUUUAAAAGCUCCACGAUUUAUCAUCUAUCACUGAUAGACAUUUGGGUUGGUUCCAAGUUUUUGCUAUUGUGGGGGCUAGGAGAGGAAUAGCAGGGGGUAGGGGACUAGGGGAGGGAUAGCAUUAUAAGAAAUACCUAAUGUACAUGAUGGGGUGAUGAAUGCAGCAAACCACCAUGGCACGUGUAUACCUAGGUAACAAACCUGCACAUGUACCCCAGAACUUAAAGUAUAA